CGAGAAGUUGUGUUCUGUAAUUUUAUAUAACAUAAUUAUUUAAUGUAUUAUGUUUUCAGAAAAAAGGAAAGAACAUCAUUUUGGAAGGAGAUGCAACAUCUAUUUUGAAGCGCCUCGCAUCAGGCAAAGAAGAAUGCUCGUUAAUCAGACCUUAUAUAGUUGAUCGACUAUUCUAAGCAAAAAAUUUCAUGCACUGCAGGUUCAGCAGAAUUAGAAGAGAAGCCAAUAAUGUUGCUCAUCAGAUGGUGAAAGCAGGUUUCAACAGCGCAAAUAUCCAGUUUUGGGUUGAGGAAGUACCUGAUCGGGUGGUGCCUGGGGUUGAAGAGGACAGGAAUUGGAUGGAUCCACCGGGCUGACUUAGAACAGUGAGAAACUGGACGAUGGGAGAUGGUAGAUCUCACCCAUAAGAUGUUUGCAUGUCUUGUCUCAGGUGCUUUACGAUCUCUAAAAUGCUUUCAGAUGAAAGGGAAAGAGAUUUCGAGGGUUUGGCUGAAUGGCGUUAGUAUUCCAGGUUUGAUGAGAGAGUCUUUGGGAAAGGGGGCCUCUCAAGUCUCAACUGUUUUAUGUCUUCAAUGCUUUGGUUUUCCAAGGCUGAUGCCUUCAUUUCUCUGUCGGUUUGUGUUGCCCCCACGGCACUAUAUUGAACCUUUUUUUCUCUCUAAUAUAUUUGAACCAAACUGGAUUUUAUUCCAAAAAUGUAUUAUAGAUAAAUAAACUAAUGGAAAUGAUUGAC
This 733-nucleotide long non-coding RNA is filed under the name Gossypium raimondii (Peruvian cotton). RNAcentral's name for it is "long non-coding RNA (GRAI_LNC003549)". Lineage: Eukaryota; Viridiplantae; Streptophyta; Magnoliopsida; Malvales; Malvaceae. The record is from RNAcentral.